This 253-nucleotide ribosomal RNA is filed under the name uncultured bacterium. RNAcentral describes it as "partial 16S ribosomal RNA". It matches the Rfam family "Bacterial small subunit ribosomal RNA", at positions 524 to 776 of the family's 1533-position model. The record is from RNAcentral.
UACGUAGGCAGCAAGCGUUGUUCGGAGUUACUGGGCGUAAAGCGCGCGCAGGCGGUUUCUCAAGUCAGUGGUGAAAGCCCGGAGCUCAACUCCGGAACUGCCAUUGAAACUGUGAAACUUGAGGACGAGAGAGGUGAGUGGAAUUCCCAGUGUAGAGGUGAAAUUCGUAGAUAUUGGGAAGAACACCGGUGGCGAAGGCGGCUCACUGGCUCGUUUCUGACGCUCAGGCGCGACAGCGUGGGGAUCAAACAGG